AGGAGAGUGCGCAAGAGUAUGCUUCCACUGGAGUUGGAUUAUUAGCUGGAUCAUCCAUCCUGCUUCUCACAGUUGUGUGGGGGACCUGUGUUAUUGUUGGCAAGCAAAGUUUUAAAAAUGACUCUCAUUCUUCUGAUACCUCAUAUUUAUCAACCGGAAGAAUAAAACAAGCUUUGACUGGUUUGCUCUUAAUUCUAUCUCUUUUUUUUUGGUUAAAAAUUCUAUCUCUUUAUUUAAAUCCCUUAGCACAUGUCUUACUAUGUAAAUAUGUCAUAACAUUCUUUUUUUUAGAGUUCAAUUUUUAUACACAUCAAAUGUAGAAUUUUAUACUAUAAACAAAUCACAAACAAUCAUCUAUUUGACUUUAGAAGUAGUUAUGAUUACAAUUAUGAUUGAUUGAAAGUACAAAAAUAUAUUUACAUUUACAAUGUAUAUGAAUUAAAUCUUAUUUCUAACAUUCACACAAAUAUCUAAAUGAUAAAACAUAACUAGAUGUAUGUGUAAAAUAGUUUUAAAUGCAUUUCAUACAUGAAGUUUUAAAUUCUUCAAUUAGAAUUACCAUAACUCCUUUAUAGUUUUUUAUUUGAAUUCUUAAUGUGUAAUAUUUUUUUAUAUUUAUGAUAGGUUAUGGCAUUACUAUGGAUAUAGACACUAGAAAGAUGGCGAGAAUCAUGGUUUUCUCUGUUAUACCACUCCUCAUCAUGCAGAUUCCCACUUUGUUCUAUUUCUCUACAACAUUACGCAAUGUGACCUUGAUAGUUUCUCUCAUCAUUGCUGUCACUUUUCUCAUCUCAUACUUCAUUUACCAGGUGCCCCAUUCACUUACUCGUAUUUGCUUUUAAGUUAAUCUUUAAAAUAACUACUCCAUCCGUUCCAAAAUGUAAAAAAAAAUUGGUCAAUAAAAGUUAAUGUAUUUUGUUCAAAAUGUAAAAUACCAUUAUGAUAUACAACUAAGUUUAAAAUUGAAGUUGUGUUGUAAACCUUAAUAUUGUAGGAAAUCAUAGUUAAAUACAAUUGAUGCAAUCUCAAUCUCGGUUGCAACUCAAAUUUUUUAUGAUAAUAAUCUUGAUGUCACUCUUAAAUUGCAGUCACGUACUAUUUUAUAAAAUCUAGGCUUAAUAUAUCAUUUGGUCCCUUAGCUUAUUUUAUUUUUUCAUUUUGGUCCCCUAACUAUCACGUGUUUCAAUUUAGUUCCAUAACUCUUAUGUCGUUUACCAUUUUAGUCCUCUCCGUUUGUUUUUAACCUUAUAUGUCUAAGGUGAACCGUGACCCACCAUAGUAAUUUGGAAUUGGGAGGCGAAGCAUAUCCAUAUAAAUUAAUUACUCAACUUGUAAUAGACUAGUUUGACUCUCUUUUUGAUAUUUUUCAAUGUCAAAUUGUCUUCUUAUUUUUAUCCAAUGAAAUAUGCAGCUCUUUAAACCUCAGAUAGAGAAAACAAGACUGGAAUACAUAAAGCAUGAUGAUUUAAUUUUAAGAAUUUUCCAACGUGUUGAAAAGCAAACUCUACAAAAGAUCCUAACUGAGGAUGGAACUCCUAAUGUAGCUGCCAUAAAUGGGUAAGUCAGAUUUCAUGGAACAUUUAUCAACAAAAUAAAUGUUGUUUGAAUUAGUUUAUUUGAACUUAUCUACUAGCACAAGCACUUGUGAUACAGUGUAAGAGAACUUAUAAAAACAACUUAUGACAUGUUCAUAUGUUGUUUUCAGAUUAUUCUCAUAAACUCUAGUUAUCACUUCUUUAAGGAGAAAUUGUUAUUAAUCAAAUGACACUAAUGGCCGUUUUCAACUGGCUCACUGACAGAAAUUGAACUUCUUCUCUUAAAGUUACAAGAUUAAACUCUUACGCGUGAGCUGACACCUCAUGGAGAAAUUGAUCUUAUUUUAUCUUAAGAAAUAUGGUUUAUGACAAUAGUUAUCCCUCUUUAAGGAGGAAUUAUUAUUAAUUAAAUGACACUAAUGGCCAUUUUCAACUGGCUCACUGAGAGAAAUUGAACUUUUUUUUUGGUACAAAGAGAAAUUGAACUUCUUCUCUUGAGGUUACAAGAUCAAACUCUUACGUUUAAGCUGUCACCUUAUGGAGAAAUUGAUUUUAUUUUAUCUUAAUUGAAAACAGUUUGAUUUUAGUUUAUCUUUUGUUAUAGAAAUCACUUAUAUAUAACCUCUUAUAUGAUAAACACUAUAGAAAACAAUUUCCCUUAGUUUCCUACGUACAUAACCCUAAUAGUGUACUUCAUCAUGCAGACUAUACCAUGAAUUCAGUCAACAUGGAAAACACUUAUCAACUUCUGAAGUAAAAGAGUUGUUGCUUGGGAACAAUUUAGCCGACACAAAUAUCAGAGAGGACCAAAUAGCAGACAUGUUAAAAGCUUUUGACAAAAAUGGCGACCAAAUUAUAACCAAAGAAGAAUUUGUUAGUGGCUUAACAGAAUAUAUUAACCAAACAAAGCAUGCUUUGGAUAGAAAGUACCUCCCUAAGGAAUCUAUGAACAAAAUGUAUCAGGUAAGUGAUGCAAUUCAAAGCCUGACAUGAUUGUUAUAUAUUAUAUUGAUAUUUUUCUUGCACAAUCUACUAUUACAUGAUAUAACGUGCUUCUAGCAUAAGCGCGUAUGUAUAAGCUAUUACUGUAACAAAUGAUAAAAUAAAGUAAAACUAUUUUCAUAAAUUCUAUAAGUUUUAUCUUAGAAAGUUUAUGGAAAUAAGUUGAAAACAACUUAUGGACAUGUUAGUCAUUUCUAUAAGCUCCCACAAACAGUCUCACAAAUGCUUAUGUCAGCUGAUAAGUUCAAAUAACUCAAUACAAUCUUAUUGUAUUCUAAACAGAGUUUUAUCAAACCAUGGAUUGAACACGUGAGAAAAGAACGUGAAUUGAAGGGACAACUUAUUUCCGGAGUCUUAAGUCAUGCUCAGAAUGAUAUGGUUGGUAGGAUGCUCCAUGAUGAUGGUACAGCUGAUAAAGAUGCUAUCAAAAGGUCUGCAUAUUUAUAUCUUUGAUUACACGUAUGACAAUAUAUAUAAAUAUGUUUUUUAUGAGUGUUUUCUUGCUCCUUGUGAUGCAAUAGGUUAUUUGAGCAAGUUGAUGGCGAUGGCGAUAACCAUGUUUCAAGAUCCGAGUUAGAGAAAGUAGUUAGGGAGACUCAUUUUGGUAAGGCUGUAGAUGCAGAGGAAGCAGUCUCAAAACUCCUUCACGAUCUUGAUGCCAACAAAGACAAUGAGAUUAGUGAGAAUGAAUUUGUUGAUGGCUUCACCAAAUGGAUAAACUCAAAUUCUAGUAAACCAGGAAGCUCAAAAUCUUCUUCUCAUGAAACUCAUCAAGUAUUUCCCUUAUUCCUUUACUCAAUAACUUGACAUAUUCACUAAAACAUGACUAUGGCCUUCCCAUUUCUAAAUUAGAAAAUAUAUAUAGUCUCCCAAUUUGUAAAAUUUAUGGGAAAAAAUAUUAGAAACAUGGAUACUACCUACAUUCUCAAAUUUAGAAACAUGGAUACUAAAUUGACUAAAAUUGCAUUUAAACCAAUUUCUUCCAUUUUUGCUACACUUGAACUUGAUCAAUAAAAAAUUUGUUUACAAAUGGUAUAUGAAUGAUUGUUUAUUAGACAUGGGAAGAUGUUGAGAAGGUAAUGGAAGAGAAUCAAACCAAAGGGGUGACUGCAUGGUUAGAAGCUAUAGCAUACGUGAUGUUGGGAAUUGCUAUGUUGUCACUUCUUGCGGAGCCUCUAAUAGCAAGUGUUCAAAAAUUCUCUGAAGCUGCAGGAAUUUCAUCAUUUUUCAUCUCUUUCAUUUUAGUCCCUUUGGCUACAAAUUUUAGAGAAGCAACCUCAGCAAUCAAAGAAGCUAGCCACAAAAAAAGCAGUAAUACUUCUCACACUAUGUAUGAGGUUAGUCAUGUUCCUCUGUCAGUCUAACUUCUUCAAUAUUUUAUCCUUGGUUUAAAAAUACUAUGAGGAUCCCUAAAUUAUUUGAAGAUCUUUAAAUAGGUCUUAUAACUCUAAAAAAAAUUAAGUUCUUAAAAUUAUCAAUAAUUUAUAAGUAGGUCUUUAAACUAAAAAUGUUUUUAAUUGGAUCCUUGAAUUUUUAAAAUUUAUAAUUAAGUCUCUAAAAUUUUAAGUAAUUUCUAUUUGCAUCGUUAAACUCUAACUUCAUUACACAUUAUUUGAAAGUUUUUUUUUAAGAAACAUAAAUGGAAUUUUAUUCACAAAAACGGAGACUCCUCUUUGGCACAAGGCGUACCAAAAAGGUUCUCAAAGUUACACAGUAUCAGUCACAAUAAAAAUACAAUAGUCGUUAGCCGAUACCCAGACAUGUCAAUGGGUUCGACCACCACUGCUGACAACCAAAAACAAAAGCGGCAUUAUUAGCCUGCAACCACCAGUAGGAAUGAAAUUUAACCUUCUGCAAGAGUUGUAAAGAGGAACUCUGAGAAUUAUUAAAUAACUUAUUAUUACGCUCAUUCCAAACUAGCCAAAUACAAAGAAGGCAAAUUAACUGCAUAAAAGAUUGCCGCUCCCUCGAGCCACCGAAGUAGUUCGUAAAAUGAACAAAAUGAUCAGGAAUACUCUGAUGGUCUACACAAUAAACGCCUAUCCAAAAGCGAACAUGCUGCCAAAGAGAGCCAGAUAAAUCACACAGGAGAAACAAAUGUUGAGCCGUUUCGGCCUGUCCACAUCCCGCCAAGCAAGAUGUGCUUAAACCUGUAAUGAUGUCGCGGCCAAGAAGGUUGUUUUUUGUCGGUAACCUGUCACGGAGAAGCCGCCACGCUAAUAUAGAGACCUUCACAGGGACCUUAGAGUGCCAUAUCAGAUUUUCGGAAGUAUGCAACAUAGGAGGAUCCUGAGAAGUGAGCAAAUGAUCACAUUAUUUGAAAGUUGAUACCCAAUUAAAAAAAAUUAAUUCAAGGACCUUUUACAUUUUUUUUAGUUUAGAAAUUAGAGACUUAUUUAUAAAUUCUCAAAUAAUCAGAUCUCCAUAAGAGUUAAACAUUUUUUUUUUUGGAUAAAAAGAGUUAAACAUUUAGUCUAUGAAUAAAUACUUAUGAAAGAUUUGGGUCAAUGCAGAUUUAUGGUGCAGUGUUCAUGAACAACAUUCUUGGAUUUGUGGUGAUAUCUAUUCUUAUAUAUAUGAGGGAUAUCACUUGGGAAUUUUCAGCUGAUGUAUUAGUGGUGGCAAUUGUUUGUGUUGUGAUGGGUCUCACCACUAGUUUUCGUUCCACUUUUCCUCUGUGGACAUCCUUCCCAACAUACCUCUUGUAUCUAAUAUCAUUAGUUAUGGUUUAUGUUCUCAAAGAUGUUCUCAAUUAUGUGUAGUGUUCUUAAUUUUGAUAUCAAGCUAAGGUGAAAUGUUUUUGUUCUCAAAGAUGUUCUCAAUUAUGUGUAGUGUCCUUAAUUUUGAUAUCAAGACAAGGUGAAAUAAAAAAUCUAGAUAUGGUUCAUUGGAAAAUAUUGUGUGAUAGUCAGAAUAUAUUAUAUGAUAUGAAUUCUAACCUUGUUGAUACCUUGAUGGAAAUGAAAUUGAGAUAAACACUUAAACGAAUUCAGCCCCUAGACUAAUUUCGCCUUAAAUUUUGUGUACAUAAAAAUAUACUAAAGGGAAUGAAUACCAGUAGAUUUUAUUUUCUUCAAAAUAAAAUUUUUUUUGAAGGACUUUUCUUCAAAAUAAUAGAAAUAGACUUUACAUUUAGACCCAUUAGUUGGGUUGUCCAUGCUUGGACUCUAGGUUGAUCCAACUACUGAUUUCGUAUCAUAAACUUGAUGAAAUUCAUGGUCCCCAAAAUGGGAAUGUCUCUCACUAAUAAGGAGUGACAUUCAUGUGAUUUAGUAUUUAAGAUAUGAAGGUAUACUUUUUGGUUAAGACAUUUAUUAACAUUUUUAUGAAAAUGAUCCUUAUGUAUGAAAUGAGGUUUUAAAUUGCUACUGUUAGAAAAGAGACUGAUUUAUUUCAAAGGUGUAAUUACAAUGUGAAAAUUGUUGUUCUCACAUCAAAGGUUGUUAGGAAACACCACGAAAUUAUUAAGAUAAUCUCAUCGGCAGUUAAUUACCGAUGAAUUUUAACCGAAAGUGCUUAACUGCCGAUGAAAAUUGAGAUUAAAUUUAUCAUUUCAUUGAACAACAACUUUUUUACAAUGUCGGUAGCUAUUCUAUUUAAAUAAAGAAAUAUCAAGAUCUAUUGGGUUUGCUAAAUAAACCACAUAUUAAUAAAAGUAAUUACUAAUAUUACUAUUUACAGUCCUUUACAAGACAUCCCAUCAUCAAACUGAUGAAUAGAUGUAUGUCAUUCUCAACUUGCAGGUAAGGUGGUUGAAUUUUUCGGUUGAUGAUGACAGAAUAUCAUAUGAUAUUUUUGGCUAUAUUUUUAGUACUUUUCUUUGCAUUUGAAGACAAAUAACUUGAGAGAUAGAGGAGUUGUUAAUGGUUAGAGGAACAAUAUUGUUUUCAAUCGAGUCGUUGUAAUGCACUUUCGUCCUAGAUCAUGUAACUCCAUAGGUGUUUUGUAGCGAGAAAUCAUGUAAUUCGACAAAUCAAGACAUCACGUGAUCAAGGAUAUGAAGAAUGAAAUCAAAAGUUCUAAGAAGGUUUUUGAAGACAAUACAAAGUGAAUAAAAUUUGACAAGUGCAUCAAACUGUUUUUAAGCACUAAAUUUCAACUAGGUAUCGCAAAUAAAUUAAAUGAAAGCAGGGGGGAAUCCCCUAUCUUUUCCUUGUUGGAUUAAGGAGAAGUAAUUAUCAGCUAUGAGAUAAAAGUUAUAUUUAAGUGAUAAGUUCAUGGGCAUCACGGGAUUGUUAUGUUCCUCCAGCUGUCGAGUUGCACCUGCUGAUCACAAUAAGGUUAUAAAUGCUCAACGGGUAUAGGGUCGUCAACCCUACAGGGUUCGUAUGCCUACGUAAGGUUGUUAGAGUGGGGCCUUACUCUCUUAAAAUUAAUUGAACCAUAAAAGAAUUGGUAUUCCUAAAUUAUCUUCUAAAGGCUUCAACUUCGUCUAUGAACCUUAAAAGUACAUCACAUACCCUUUCUAACCUUAGUAGUUCUGCAAACAGGUAGCCCUAUGUAGUCUACCUUUCCGAGGGGAAAUAAUAAAAUUUAUAAUGCAACGUUCGAAAAAGAGUUACCAGGGGUGUCCUUAGGAUCACCGCCUGCAUCCUUAUUUCUAUGUUCAAUUGAAAUUCACCAGGGUUGUUACUCUCCCUAGGAAGCAUUAAGACUUUUGCAUAUAAAAAUUAAAUAAAUCUCAAAACAUAAAUGAAUAAAAUACUUGAAUUAGAUAGAUCCAAUAAACAAAUAGAGGUGUAUCUCUAGAGACAAAGGUUGAGGACAUACUCUUCUUUUGAUGCUCCUAACACUUGUCUUCCUCUUGAACUGCUUCAUUCUGAAUGAGUAUUUGUGAAUAAGAAGAGUUGUAUUUAUAGGAUGAUUUGCAUGUAGGUUUGGGCUAAAAACUGAGCUUUUUCUUCAAACCCGCAACCAAAAACAAUAAAAUAUAAUGUUGUUUUUUUUCACAGAGGCGCAAAUGCCUCGCACGUGGUCUGGUGAUUGCCAUACGUGUGAGUAAAAAUAAUGUUUUUAUGCAUUGUUUUGCACACCCCCAGGGGCGCGUUGUCACGCGCCUAAUGUGCGUGGCACUUGUUUUUAGUGUGUGUCUUGUCUUUUCUUCGUCUUUUUGAGUGCUUUCUUCCAUCGAACUUGUGUUAGGACAUGAGAUAGAAUUUCUCUACUUGUAAUAUCUUGAGAGGUCUCUUGAAUCUUCAUUCAUUGUCUUCCCAAUUCUUCAUGAGGUAUUUUGCUUUGUAGAACUACAUGUUUUUUUAAUGAAAUACAUCAAAAACACCUAAGAAUUGUUUGGUUUAGGGAAAACUAUAAUUACUUGACUUGAACCACAUAAAAUUGUUUUAAAACUCCUAUAAUUUGGGUCAUAUCAUAACUAAAAUGACUGAAAAGUAUGCUGAAAAUAAUGUAAGAUGGUCUGUCAUCAACUACAAAUAUGGAGCAUGAGUUUUGUGAAUCAUUGUCCGACCUGUUACAUUUUGACUCAAUCUGAGGCUUAUGUGACCCACAUAUACUAAGUUAUUGGCCUUGAGAAAGAAUAAGCUCCCCUCACACGACUGCUUUAGCAGCCACUUAACCUUCCCUUCACAAAGAGGAUUCCUAGCCUAAAGCUCAAUCACCUAUUUGCCGAUAUAUGUUAACAAGAUAUUUGUUUUUAAGUGUGAACAAAGGCCCCCUACAUUGUAUUAUCGUUUAUACAUGGAGUGAUGAGAUGAUCUGACACAAAUAUUAGAGUUUUGCAUGAAAAAAGUCAUCAUUACACUGUAAAGUAGGAAAUGAACCGUCUUACAUAACCUUGAUUUGGCCAAUGCAACAAUUAUCACUCUUUACUCAACUUUUGUCGAUUCAACUCCUCCAAUAGAAAUUCUGGCUUCUUUAUGACCAACCCAGGAAACCUUAUUUGUUGAUUAGAUGCUUCUUCUUAUAAAUUUCCUAGGUUUGGACAUAUGGUACAAGUAGCCAAAUGAUCCAGCCCCGUUGAGGACAAGACAAAAAGAAAGAAGAAAAAAUAGACUAUUAUCAGAGUCACAAACAGGUAAUAAAAAAGGUCUCGUUUGAACUCAAGGUGGAGUGUUGAAAAUUAAGAAGCCUCACAUAGAAGAGAACAAAGAUAACGAAAGUGUUUAUAAGUGGUGGAGAGUUUGAGCCGGUUGAUUUAAAUUUUUAGGCCUUUGGUAAAAAUAGAGAAUAACUAAUAAGUUAACUUAUAACUUAUAGUAGAUGAUUGAUGAAUGAUCACUUAUAGUUUAUAAUUAAUAAUUGAUAGCUCAUGACUAGUGACUUAUAACUGCUAAGUUAGUUGAAGUGUUUGGUAAAAUUAUGUGUUCAACUAGUUAAUAAAUGUAAAAUGACAUAAAAGGAUAAUAUUUUUCUUUUAGGGAGUAAAAGGACAAUCUUAAUUCAUAGUAAAAUUAAGGCUUAAUUGCAUGUUUGAUCCCUUAUGUUUAUUUUAGUUUUCAAGUUGGUCUCUUAUGUUUUAAAAGUUUCCAGUUGAUCCAAAACGUUACCUACGUUAGAAUAAGUUAGUUCCUUCCGCGACAUGAUAUUGAAAUUAAUAAAACAAAAAAAUUAAUAAAAAUGUUUUAAAACUAAUUUUUUAAAUAAGUUAAGUUCCAUCAUUUAUAUUGUCAACCCGGAUCUUCAAAUUUAAGUGACGGGGGAGAUUAACUUAUUCCAACGUGAGUAACGUUUUGGACCAACUUAAAACUUUUAAUACGUAAAAGACCAACUUCAAACUUUUAAAACAUGAAGGACCAACUUAAAAACUAAAAUAAACAUAAGGGAUCAAACAUGCAAUUAAACCUAAAAUUAACAUCCAUUAUAUUUAAGUAUUUGAAAUUUAUUAAUUUAAUAUAUCUUUUAUAUAUUAUUUAAUAUAUCUUUUAUUUUAUAUUUUAGUAUUUAUUUUUAUUUCAAUAUACUAUACAAAAAAUUAAACAUAAUGAUAAAAUACAGGAAGUGGAAGAUUUAGACAUGACAAAAAAAAAACUAGACGUGAUGAUAAAAUAUAAAGAGUCAAGACAUAAAAAACAUAAAUAUAUUUUGUGUAGCAUUGUUAAGGAAGUGGUGUUGGCGGAUGUUGAUUGACAAGGAGGGACUAUGGUAUCGAGUCUUAAAGGCGAGGUAUGGGGAGGAAGGGGAGCAGUUAAGGGAGGGAGGGAGAGAUAGUUCUGAUUGGUGGAGAAUGAUGUCUGACAUUUGUUGUGGUGUUGGUGUGGGGGUGGAUAAUUGGUUUGAAGAUAAUGCCCGUAGGGUUGUGGACGACGGGCAUAGUAUUUGUAACACCCCGUUUUAACAUGUUUGGGUGGAGUUGUUUAGUUAAUUGGGAUAGAGACAUUGGAUUAAUAAGGGUAGCAUAUAUAAACUAAAGCUUUAAUUAAUGGUAGUAGUUUAAUUAAGAAAAAAAAAAGUGAGAGAAAAUAAUAUUUAGAAAGAAAAUAGAGUUUUUUUAGAAAGAAUAAUAAAUUAGAGUGCGAACGGGGGGAUUAGUAACAUUAGGUAGAAAAGAGGUGUAGUUAGUGAGAUGAGUAGUGCUUUAAUGAUUUAAGUAGAGGGGAGUGUGAAUAGUAAGACGGUGUAGCUACAGAAAUAAUAGUAACAAAUUCAAGAGGUGCAGAUAAUAAUUUGAAAAGAUUAGUAACAAACCUAGAUGACAUAUAGUAAUCUAAAAAGAUUAGUGACAAACUUAAUUAGACCUUAUAAAUAGAGAAGAGAAUUAGAGAACAAGGGUUGCCGAGAAAGAGAGAAACAAAGCGGCAAAAAAAAGACUAGGGUUAUGGAAUGAAGAGGCAAAGAGGAAUAACGAGAAGAAUCUAGAGAGAGAUUUCACCGUAGAAAAUCAUCAAUUUUGCAAAACUAGAGGUAGGGGGAGUUUUAUGGUAAGGGGGAGUUUUAUUCAUCAUAUGGGCUAUGUACUUAUGUGGGGUAGUGAAGGGUCGUUAAAUUUUCUUUGUUUUGAUGAAUCUAUUAUUAAAUUCGUUUUUUUUUUUUUUUAUGUUGCUUAAUUAAUUAUUGAUUUUUUUUUUUUGAAGACAUAAAAAUGGAAUAUAUUAACAACGGCAGUAAAACACCUAAGUACAAGAUGUACUAAAAGUGCCACCCCUGAUAACAGUCAAACAUACAAAGUAGAGUCAAAGCAAAGGUCGAUCUAAACCCAAACAAAAUAAAGGGUCCGACCACCAUUUUGGGUACCAUACAUAAAAUUUGCUUUGUUAGCUUGAAGCCACUAUAAAGAAUGAAAUUGAACUUUAUCUGCUAGUUGUUCAACCGUGGUUUGGAUAUUAUUAAAAAGUCUAUUAUUACGUUCGUUCCAAACCACCCAAACACAAAGUAACCAAAUAAGUUGAAGAAAUGACUGACGAGCCUUUGAGUGACCUGUAGAGUGAGUAAACUGAAUGAAAUGGUCAUCAAUAAGGGUCAGCACCUGACAUUCCAAUCCAAGACCUGAUAAGAUGCCACAAUGAACCAAAAGUGGCGCAAUGAAUAAAUAAAUGAGAUGUAGUCUCUUCCAUACCGCAUCCUGUGACACACAUACAUGCCUCGCCGUUGAUUAUGCCACGCCUUAGAAGAUGGUUCUUAGUCGGCAACCUAUCUCUCAAUAAUCGCCAAACAAAAAUGGAAACCUUCAGCGGCACCUGCUUAUGCCAUAUAAAAUCUCCCAAAGGAACGUCUGGAGGUUCCGCUUGAGUUGUAAGAUGAUGAUAGGCGCCUCCCACACUAUAUCCACCAACAGAAUCAGAGUCCCAUUGAUUUUUGUUUCUAAAUUGUGAUGUUUUUUGUUUAAAUUCCUGAUUGAAAUAUGAUGAUGUUGUGCUUUAGAAUAUAUAUAAUGAAGAAUAGUAACAUGGAAUUAGAUGUAAUUGUUUUUCGAUGCUUAUUUGUUUCUUUAAUUCAUUGAUGCCUUUAAAUUAAUGAAUCCUGUUUUCGGUAAAUCAAUUGAUUUUUGUUACUUAUUCUAAAUUAACUAAUUUAUUUCGAAUAGCAGACCUGUUUCUUUCGAAUUACAUGUUCUUUCUUUGUUAUAUUUUUAGUUCUCUGAUCUUUAUAUAUCACUACCUAAAUUUCCUUUCAUUAUAGUCAUUGAUAUUGAUUCAUAUCCUUUCAUAGUGACACAAUUGAAAUUAGAUUCUUUCUAUAUUGAUAUUAUCUCUUUCGGUUACUAAGAAAUCAAUUCAAAUUAAUUUUUGAAUAAAUACUUAUAAAAAGAAGCUACUGAUAAUUAAAAAAAUGUUUGAGUUAGUCACUUUUGAUUUGUGUUCAAUGUAUUCAUGCACAUAUACUUUGGCGUUACCCGUAAUUUGAUUGUAUAAAUUUCAGUAAAGAUUAAUUAAAAUUGACUGCAUGUUUUUGUAUUGGUUAGUUAUGUAAUUUGAUGUGUUAUUUAACGAUGUGUAAAUGAUGAUAUAAUUGAUGAUGUGUUAUCUAAUGAUGAAUAUUAAACGAUGUGUUACUUAAUGAUGUUGUAUUUGACGAUGGUGCUAUUUAAAGAUGUGCAUUGUUUAGUCUUUAUCUGUAUUCAUGCAUUCAUGGUUGAGUCUAUUUAACAAUGUGAUUUAACAUACUUUGAUAGUGUUGUAUCCAAAGAUGAUGUUCUCUUUAAAAUACUUUGAUGGUGUUGUAUUCAAAGACGGUGUUACUUUUAAAAUACUUUGAUGGUGUUGUAUCAAAGACGGUGUUGCUUUUAAAAUACUUUGAUGGUGUUGUAUUUAAAGAUGACAGGAUAAAAUUGGUGAGUAGGUUUGGUACCACAUGCAUAUAGAGUCGAGUUAGGGACAUUGCAUACAUAACUGCAAGUCUACUUGAAGAUGUGUAAUUAAAAGAUGUGUAAUUUAAAGACGUGUAAUUAUUUAAAGAUGUGAUAUUCAAUUAUGUGUUUCUAAAUGGUCAUGUGCGAAUAAUAUGUAUUUUGCUAGAUGUCUUUUUGAUAUUCUUAAAUGUUGUUGAUGCUCACAUAUUAUUAUAAGAUGUUGACUGAUAUAUGUUGAUUUUAUUAAAUGAAUGUAUAUAUUUAAAUGGGAACAGUAUCUGAUUGUGAUGUAUACAUACCUAAAUGUAAAUGAUGUAUCCUUUGUUCUAGAUCUAUACAUGUGUUUUUGCAUUUCUUAUGUUGAAUAUAUUCCCACCCUCUAGUGGCGGGUUGGGCGCUUGCACCCUCGUGGUUUAGAUUUGCAGGAAGAAGAUCUUAGUAGCAGUGAGUCUCGGAGGAUGGCGUUGGGGCCUUCUCCUUUUUGUCUAUCACUUUUUGGGAGUUUUAUUGAGUCGAAGCUCUGAUCAGUAACACUAGGGACCGAGAUUUCUUUUUAUUUUAGACUCUAUUUUAGAAUUCUUUUGAAUUUAGUUUUGGUGUUGAAUUUGUGAUGCGACAUGUACUUUAAAGUUUUUGAAAACUAUUCCAUUGCAAUGUUUUUAAUUUGAAUGAAGUGCAUUUUUAUUUUUUUUAUUUUUUUAGAUGUGUGACACCCUUGUGUGAAUUAGGGUGUUACAGUAUUUACUUUUGGUUAGACAACUGGGUGGGUGGAGCACCGUUAAGAGUGCAACUCCCUCGCUUGUUUGAUCUAACCCAACAUAAGGGUGCGACAGUUAGGGAGAUGGAGGAGUUAGGGUGGGCGGUUGGUUGUGGAGGAGGCGCCUUUUGGCUUGGGAGGAGGAGUCCGUUACGGAGCGUGCAGCUUUGCUAUCUAACAUUAUUUUGCAGGACACUACUGUUGACAGGUGGCGAUGGGUUCUUGAUCCUAUUCAAGGAUAUUCUGUCAGAGGGACUUAUCAAUACCUAACGUCAUCUGAUUCACUUGAGGAGCGGGGCCAUUACGAUAUGGUGUGGCUGAAAAGGAGGUUGCGGUAGUCAGAUUGCUGCCAAAAGACAACCUGGUACGUAGGAUGAUAUUUCAUCAGGACGAUAUGGCUUGUGUAGGAGGUUGCGGUAGUCAGGAGUCGGCGGUUCACUUCAUCUAGCGCUGUGACAUAUUUAGCAUUAUUUGGCACCUAGUCUACAAGUGGAUUGGUAUUUCUUUCAUAUCCCCUGAAUCGGUGAUCGAUCAUUUACAUCAACUUGGCCGUUUAGCAGGCUUUUCGCGACAUGUUCACUCUUAUCUCCAAGUGAUUUGGCAUACUACUAUUUGGAUCAUUUGGAAGGAACGAAACAACAAAUUUUUUAAUAACAAAGUUUAGGAUGUGUUUAAGUCGUUAGAUGUUGUUAAGUUUAUGUCUUUCUCUUGGUUAAAAGGUAAGUUGCUCACUUCUACUUUCGGUUACAAUGAUUGGUGGCGGAGCCCUUUAUUAUAUAUUGGUGUUAGGGAAAAGUUUUCUUUUGCUUGAUUUUUCGUUGUGUUUUACGACAAUAGACUCAUAAAUUUGUACUACUUUUGGGUGGUUCUUUCUGGCACACCUUGUGCUAGUUGAAUCACUCACGUUUAGUUAUAUUUCAUUUUGGCUUCUUAAAAAAAAAACAUAAAUCGACUUGAAAUCUUUUUUUUUUUUUAAAAAAAAAAUACAUGUGAAAUGAUUGCUUUUUAUAAGAAGUAGACAUGAAAUGAUACAAAGGGUAACAAAAUAAAGUGAAAAAAAAAUAAUAAAUUAACGGGACAGUGUAAGAAUAUUUUCUUAAGAUACGUGACAGUAUAGGUUAAAUGCCCUUGAAAAAAUAUAGAAUUAAAUGUAACAAAAAAAACAAAUAUUUCAUUCAACCAAAAAAGUUGAUAUUUCAUUUUUUUUUUUUCGAGAUUUGAACCCGAUCCUUGCAUAUAUUAUGCAUUUGUCAGCAUUUAAAACUUACUUAUUUUAUUUUAAAUAAAUUAUAAUAUAUUAUAAAGGGUAAAAUUGAAAGAAAUGGUAAUAAGUUAUACGCUACUUGAAAUAGUGUCUUAAAAAUAAGAUAUAAGCUCGUGAAAUAAAUUAUAAGUUCGUGAUGAAAUAACAUUUACUAAACGAGAUUAUUUUUGUCAUACAAACGUAUGUCUUACCAAACAGACCCUUAAACUAUGAGUUUUCACACGAGCAUUAACUAAUCAACUACUGUGCCACGCUCUAAUUGGACGUGCCAUAGAUAAUCCAGCAAUUUAGUCAAUAUUCAAUACUAUAUUACUUCUCUAAUCUUAUGCCAGUUUUAAUAACAUGUAUUUAUAUUCUGAUGGAUUUGUAUGGUCCUUAAUUUUAGGGUAAAUUUAAAUAAUUUAUUAAGCCACGUGCUUUUUAUUUUAUCAUUUUAUAUAAUAUAUUAUUAGAUGUUCAUUUCACGUCCAUCUAUGUUGGCCUAACGAAGCCAUGUUUAUUUCUACAACUGCUAUAAAAAUUAGAGUGUACAAGUUGUCAAAUGAACUAGCCUCGAUGAGGAUAUCUUUGAUGAUAUGUUCUCAUUUAUAUUCUAGUCGCGGGUAAAAAAAAAUAAAAAAGGAUAUUUUUAUAACUAUUUUUCGACAAUUUUUGUAACAACUUUCUUUUUUAUACUCAUUAUAUAUAUUUAUUUUUUCUCACUAUUGUUUUAGUUUUUGUAUUAAUGCCUCAUUUUUUUUAUAAAUUUAUAGUUGUCUCAAAAGUUAUCAUUAAAAUGGUUGUUCAAAUAACAAAACUCUAAAAACAAAGCUUCGUUUUUAAGGGCAUAGGAGGGAACAAUGAUUGCUAAAGUGUUUAUAAGUGGUGGAGCAUAUGAGUAUAUUGGUUCCAACUCAAGAACUAUGAACCUUCGUACCACUAACUAAUCUACUAUGUGACACUCUAAUUGGGCAUGCACCUUAAUUCAACGGUUUAGUCAAUAGUCAAUACUAUCAGAGUCAUUUCGGUAAAAUUGGAGGCCAUGUUCAAAUAUUAAAAGUGGGCUCCUAUGAAAAAACAAUAUUUUUUAAGCAAUAGUAAUCGUCUAUUUAAGUUGUAAAUAACAUAAAAAAUAUUCGUUGUUAUUAAGUAAAAGUAAGUUUGUAUGGGAAGGACUAACUAACUUGUAUUGAAUUUCACUAACAACUAAUUGUUUUAAUAUUAAAAUUUGGUUCAUAUUUCAUAAUAAAAAGAAACACCAAAAACUUAAAAUUAGAAUCAUCACUUUGUUUAGUGCAAAAUGGGUCUUAAGUAUAUUGGUUGUUGUUGCUUAAAAAAAGUGUCUUUGUUAUCUAAAUAGUGACAAACUAGUACUAAUAUCGGAAAAAAAUAGUAGCAAAUUAGUACUUGCUUGCAUGAUAACUUAAAACAAUAGAAAAAAAUACUAAUUAUUUAACGGAUUUAAUUUGCAUUGUUAAUGAAAAUAGAUGACAAAAAUUUCAAGAUAUAUAGUAGUUUUCUACAUUCUUAGAUAACUCUGAAAUGUAUUUUAAAUUGUAAUGGUACAGUAGUUGUGUAUGUAAUUGAGACUUUUAUAUUUAAUUCAAAUUCACACAAAUGCUCGAGGUUGAACCUCAAGAUCGAUGACUCAAGUGCAUUCUAUUUAACCACUAAACUAUUCCAAGAUGCCCAUUCAUUUUUUAUAUUUUAUUAUAUAUACCUAACACUUUUGAAUGCUAUAUUUUUUUUUUUUAGCUCCUAAGAUUGCAAGGUCGGGCACCGUAGCUCACCUUGCACAUGCUGCCCUAAUGAAGCCUCUUGAGUUUUAAUUGAGGUAUUUACUUCUACGAACACACAAAAAGGAGAAAAAAAAAUAGAGACUAUUAUAUAAGUCACCAACAGGUUAAAGUUUAAAUUGAGGGUGUGUGUUGGAAAUUAUGAAGACCUAGAAAGGAACAAAGACAACUAAAAUGUGGCUUAAACUUUCUGAACGUGUGUCCCCACACUUAGGACAUCUGCCAUAAUCCAACUGUUAAGUCAAUAGUCAAUACUAAAUUACUUCUCUAAUGUGCAUAUUGGAUCAGUUAAAUAAAUCAUCGUGCGACGUGCUUUUUAUUUUAUCAUUUUAACAUAAAAUAUAAGAUAUUCAUUUCACAUCUUGCCAUGUUGACCUAAUGAAAAAAAAUGUUGACCUAAUGAAGUUUCUUGAGUUUUGCUUGAGUUGAGGUAUAUAUUUCUACAACCGGUAUUUCUCGUUUCUCAGUUCAUCAUAGAUAGAUAGAACAAAAUGAGAAACAUUACAAAAAUAGCAUGCUUCAAUAUUUUCUUUCUUUCUAUAAUAGCACUUCAUGUUCAAAGCCGUUUAUUCCCAAUAAAUUGAUUUCCAAUGGAGUUGAUGAUGUUCAAGCAGAAGAAGAUUCAUAUCUACUUCUUAACAAUGAUAAUGACAAAGGAGUUAUUACUGAAUCUUCUUCUAAUUCAGAGGAGUAUUGUAAACAAAUGUAUGGGUUUUUGCCAUGUUCUAAUAACAUUCUUGGUCAUUUAUUUCUGAUAUUGGUUUAUGAGUACUUAUUGUUCCAUGGAGAAUCAUAUUUGGCUGCUGGAGGUGAACAAAUAUUCAAGAUUCUUGGUCCAGGUGUUUUUGGUGCUAGUGCUUUUGAUAUUCUUGGUGCCCUUCCAGAGUCCUUAAUUCUUCUUGGUAUGCUAGCAGUGCUAUACUUUUUUAUUUUCGUUUAAAUUAAAUCUCUUUAGUUGCUUCCUACUUUCAAAGCAUUUUUUUAUUACAUGGUGGGUGGGUGGGAAUUCAUUACAUAUGGUUUGGUUUAAUAUAUAAUAUAUGUAUGCAUUAUAUAUCCACAACUUUCAGUCAUUAUUAUAAACAAAAAUCUACAUUUUGGAUUCAUUCAAUUAAUGAUGUAUAUGGUCUUUAUUAUAGACUACAUACAUCAUUUAAUGAAUAAAUCUAAAAUGUUGAUUUUUAUUUAUAAUAGUGACCAAGGAUCUACAUACUAGAGGUUGAGAGGCAUUGUGUGCCCUUCUAUCUUUUUUAUUAUAAAUAAUUUUAUUAUGAAAUUUAGAUUUUGAUUAAAAUUAUAUGUAUAGAUGUUUGUGACUUAUUAUAACAAAUCAUGUUUAUCUUUUUUAGUUACACUACAAUAUUGCAAAUAUAAUAUAUACUCUUAAUCUUUUCAAUGACACCAAAAAUAUAACAUUAUUAUAGGAAAAAUUUGUUUUAGAGUAUAAUAUGAAUAAUGAAAAAUUCAACCCAAAAUCUAGUAUUUCCUUUAGAUAUUUUUAUAGUAAUAUUGUUCAUAUUGUAGUGGAGUAUUAUAAUAAGAUCUAGAUGUAUUUUAGUUUGUAUGAUAUAUUUUACAUGCUAAAGACAUUUCCUCAUUAUAUUGUUCCUAUUCGUACUAAAAAUAAAUUUGGUGUCAUAUUUUACAUGUUAAAUGCAUUACUAUCUAAAUAAAAAUGUUUAGAUGUAUUUAUGAAAUAUGGAUUAAACAUUAAAUUUAAUUCAAGGCUAAAAUCAAUUGUAGAAGUCAGAAAAUCAUAAAUUUUAACUUUAACUAAAAUCAAAUGUACAAACAAAAUAAUUAUUCUUUAAAUCAUCUAAACAUGGUAAAAUCAAUUCUACAAUCUCAAGAAUCACUUUCCACCAUCCAAAAUUGAAAUUCUCUCAUAAUCAAAGAAUACCUCAUAUGUAUCCAAAAAAAAUAAAAAUAAAUGUAUACAAAAGAAAAUUACACGAGUACCGAAUUGGAGAGAGCCAUGACAUGGCCCUGUGCUUAUUCCAUCUCCUAUGUAGUUCGUAGAGGUGAUCACAACUAAAUCAAUUAAAAAUAAAACCGCAAACUAAACAAAAAAAAAGUACAAAACUAAAAUUUAUUAGAUGUGCUUUAGUAUCAACAACUGCUUAAACCAGAUCAUAUUUUUUAUUCAUUUUUUAAAUCAGAAUCAAACCAACCCGAACUGCUUAGAACAUAUGUUAUAUUUUGCUUCAAACGUAUGAUUUUAUCGUGUCUUAUAAUAUUAAUUUUAAUAGAUUUUUCCACAAAAUUGUAAUUUGGAUGUCCAAAAACAUAUCCAAAUUAAACCGCAUAAAAUUAGAUUGUAUCAAAAGUUUUUUUUAAUGACAAAUGUUAAUAUGUCAAUUGUUAGGUUCAUAUUUUAUCAAUUAUAAGGAUUUGAACCAUGAACCUUUAACACUUUUAAUCUCUUAGCUCAACCAAAUGAGCUACACAUCCCCUCUAAAUAUAUCUUACACAUGCACACAACUUAUUUAUAUUCAAUUAUAUUAGUAAACUUUACUAUAUAUAGACAUACACUCACACUUACUUAAUUAUCUUAAUUAUGUGUAUACUUGUUAUAUGCUAGUUACUGGACUUUCAAGUGAUAAGGAGAGUGCACAAGAGUAUGCUUCCACUGGAGUUGGAUUGUUAGCUGGAUCAUCCAUCUUGCUUCUCACAGUUGUGUGGGGGACCUGUGUUAUUGUUGGCAAGCAAAGCUUACGAAAUGACUCUCAUUCUUCUGAUACCUCAAAUUCAUCAACAGGAAGAAUAAAACAAGCUUUGACUGGUUUGCUUUUGAUUCUAUCUCUUUGUUUAAAUCCCUUAAUAGUUAAAAAAAUCACAUGU
RNAcentral lists this long non-coding RNA (18916 nucleotides) under Medicago truncatula (barrel medic). Its description in RNAcentral is "long non-coding RNA (MTRU_LNC008727)". The record is from RNAcentral. Lineage: Eukaryota; Viridiplantae; Streptophyta; Magnoliopsida; Fabales; Fabaceae.